RNAcentral lists this ribosomal RNA (439 nucleotides) under uncultured bacterium. RNAcentral describes it as "bacterial SSU rRNA". It matches the Rfam family "Bacterial small subunit ribosomal RNA", at positions 29 to 488 of the family's 1533-position model. The record is from RNAcentral.
AACGAACGCUGGCGGCGUGGAUAAGACAUGCAAGUCGAACGAGAGAAUUGCUAGCUUGCUAAUAAUUCUCUAGUGGCGCACGGGUGAGUAACACGUGAGUAACCUGCCCCCGAGAGCGGGAUAGCCCUGGGAAACUGGGAUUAAUACCGCAUAGUAUCGAAAGAUUAAAGCAGCAAUGCGCUUGGGGAUGGGCUCGCGGCCUAUUAGUUAGUUGGUGAGGUAACGGCUCACCAAGGCGAUGACGGGUAGCCGGUCUGAGAGGAUGUCCGGCCACACUGGAACUGAGACACGGUCCAGACACCUACGGGUGGCAGCAGUCGAGAAUCAUUCACAAUGGGGGAAACCCUGAUGGUGCGACGCCGCGUGGGGGAAUGAAGGUCUUCGGAUUGUAAACCCCUGUCAUGUGGGAGCAAAUUAAAAAGAUAGUACCACAAGAGGA